GUCAGUGGCUGCUGCCCUCUGUGCUUUUGGCACAACUUCCUGAAACUUCUGUCUGAAACUGAAACUAAAUCAUUUUCUGUACAUUAUCUUAUGUAACUGUAUCUGUUGGCUGUCGGUGACACGUGAGAAGAAAUGCAGGUUCCACAGCUGCUCCUUCGGACUCUGGACGACCUAGUUGAUAGUGAUUUCAAAACGUUUAAUUGGUACCUUACUUCUUGCGCCUCGAAGAGCUACGCACCCAUUCCUAAAUCCCGUCUAGAGAAUGCAGCCCGGAGGGACACUGUGAGUGAAAUGAUACAGAACUACGGAGAAGAGUCGGCUGUGAACAUCACUGUUGAGAUCCUGAAGAAUAUAAACAACAACUUCGCCGCAGAGAAGUUAAAGAAAGAAUACGCAGAGGGAAGAGCUUGAAGGUGGAAGUGAGGUUAUUGCCCAGACGGUCAACGGUUCCACAUCUGGAACAUGGAAUAUAACCAUCAACAAAUAAACUCAUGAAAAAACCAAACCGUGAAGACCAGAAAGGGAAUACACCAUGAGGUUGUGAGACAAAUAUCUUAAUCAUCAGAUGGAUUGUCAUGAAAUUUAUCGCAGACCAAGUCUUAAAAGGACACAUUAUAAAUAUUUGGUAACCCUCCAAUUUUUACUUAAGUGCAAGCCUCACGUUGUUUUCCCCAAAGAAAAUGCACUAACCAAAAUGACAUGUUGUUGCCAACUAUAUAACAUAUGUUUCUUCUGCUAUGUCCAAUUUAUCAGAGUUUUGGACUGCAGUAUUUGAUACAAUUGUUACAGCGUUAGGCAAACCAAUACAUCUUGCCCUCUUCGGGAUACCACCCACCCUCAUUAAGACCCAAACCGAACAACAGGUAAUUGCAUUUACCACUGUCCGCGCAAGGAGGCUCAUUCUUCUAAAAUGGACUCGUUCCUCCACACACAACAAUUGGAUUGUUGAGGUACUGAAAUGUGUUAAGCUUGAAAAAAUCAGGUACUCUUUAAGAGGUCCCCUUCAGACCUUUUACAAAAUCUGGCAACCCUUCUUAGCUCAUAUUGACACAUUGGAUAUCAAUCAAUCAAUCAAUCAAUCAAUCUUUAUUUAUAUAGCGCCAAAUCACAACAAAAGUCAUCGUAAGGCACUUAACACAUAGAGCAGGUCUAGGCCGUACUCUUUAAUAUAAAGAAACCCAACAUUCCCACAUGAGCAAGCACUUGGCGACAGUGGCAAGAAAAAUCUUCCUUUUAAACGGGAAGAAACCUCAGGCAGAACCAGGCUCAAAGUGGGCGGUCAUCUGCCUCGAUAUCAAGAAAGAAACUGAUAACUGAGCCCUGAGCUUGUCCUGCUAAUUAUCAAAUGUUAUCCUUCCAACAUGCUAACCCAAAAAAGGGAACAUGGUCAACAUACAACAAGAACUGUACUGUGUGAGUCCACAUGGACACAUAGGAGGGCUUUCUAAUCUGGAGCUCUUAUUGGCAGUAAUCGUCAAGUCAACAUAAUUUGUCCGUGCUAUGUCUGUGUUUCAUGUACCUAACUGUUCCUCUGUGGUUGUACUGGGCAGCUUCCAAGUAUGAAUGUGUGAAUAUGAUCCGAGUGUUCCUGAAAAAGAAAGCAUUACUCCUCCAAAUAAAUACAAGUUUUUAAAAAAGAA
Molecule: long non-coding RNA, 1640 nt
Organism: Scomber scombrus (Atlantic mackerel)
Lineage: Eukaryota; Metazoa; Chordata; Actinopteri; Scombriformes; Scombridae
Exons: 4
Source: RefSeq, a predicted model, not a curated record